UAAUACGGAGGGUGCAAGCAUUAAUCGGAAUUAUUGGGCGUAAAGGGCGCGUAGGCGGAUUUCCAAGUCAGAUGUGAAAUUCCGAAGCUCAACUUCGGAGCUGCAUUUGAAACUGGAGACCUAGAGGGAUGGCGGAGAAAACGGAAUUCCACGUGUAGCGGUGAAAUGCGUAGAUAUGUGGAGGAACACCUGUGGCGAAAGCGGUUUUCUAGCUUAUACCUGACGCUGAGGCGCGAGAGCAAGGGGAUCAAACAGGAUUAGAUACCCUGGUAGUCCUUGCCGUAAACGAUGUAUACUUGAUGUAGUUAGGCUCAACCCUGACUGUGUCGAAGCGAACGCGAUAAGUAUACCGCCUGAGGAGUACGCUCGCAAGGGUGAAACUCAAAAGAAUUGACGGGGGCCCGCACAAGCAGUGGAGCAUGUGGUUUAAUUCGAUGCAACGCGAAGAACCUUACCCAGGCUCGAAAUGCAGUGGGCGAUAUCAGAAAUGAUAUUUUCC
RNAcentral lists this ribosomal RNA (499 nucleotides) under uncultured Parachlamydia sp. RNAcentral describes it as "bacterial SSU rRNA". It matches the Rfam family "Bacterial small subunit ribosomal RNA", at positions 521 to 1017 of the family's 1533-position model. The record is from RNAcentral. Lineage: Bacteria; Pseudomonadati; Chlamydiota; Chlamydiia; Parachlamydiales; Parachlamydiaceae.